CCUACGGGGGGCAGCAGUGAGGAAUAUUGGUCAAUGGCCGUAAGGCUGAACCAGCCAAGUAGCGUGAGGGAAGACUGCCCUAUGGGUUGUAAACCUCUUUUAUGCGGGGAUAAAGGUGUCCACGUGUGGCUGUUUGCAGGUACCGCAUGAAUAAGGACCGGCUAAUUCCGUGCCAGCAGCCGCGGUAAUACGGAAGGUCCGGGCGUUAUCCGGAUUUAUUGGGUUUAAAGGGAGCGUAGGCCGGUCUUUAAGCGUGCCGUGAAAUUUUGUGGCUCAACCGUGGGAGUGCAGCGCAAACUGGAGACCUUGAGUGCGCGGGAGGCAGGCGGAAUUCGUGGUGUAGCGGUGAAAUGCUUAGAUAUCACGAAGAACCCCGAUUGCGAAGGCAGCCUGCCGCAGCGUUACUGACGCUGAGGCUCGAAAGCGCGGGUAUCGAACAGGAUUAGAUACCCUAGUAGUC
RNAcentral lists this ribosomal RNA (460 nucleotides) under uncultured bacterium. RNAcentral's name for it is "partial 16S ribosomal RNA". It matches the Rfam family "Bacterial small subunit ribosomal RNA", at positions 338 to 795 of the family's 1533-position model. The record is from RNAcentral.